This 75-nucleotide small nucleolar RNA is filed under the name Ornithorhynchus anatinus (platypus). Its description in RNAcentral is "Small nucleolar RNA SNORD126 (ENSOANG00000028109.2)". It matches the Rfam family "Small nucleolar RNA SNORD126". The record is from Rfam by way of RNAcentral. Lineage: Eukaryota; Metazoa; Chordata; Mammalia; Monotremata; Ornithorhynchidae.
CAUCUGCUGGGAUGAACUGCAUGUUCAGUCCGUGUUUCACCUGAUUCCUGAUUACACACAUGCACUGAGCAGAGC